GAUGAACGCUGACCGAAUGCUUAACACAUGCAAGUCGAUGGGGAAGUGGUGCUUGCACCAUGGUAACCAUGGCGGACGGGUGAGUAACGCGUAAGGAACUUACCUGCGGGACCGGGAUAACAGCAGGAAACUGCUGACAAGACCGGAUAAGGUCAUUAAGCUGCAUAGCUUAGUGAUGAAAGGAGACGCCUGCGGAGAGCCUUGCGUCCUAUUAGCUAGUUGGAGGGGUAACGGCCCACCAAGGCGAAGAUAGGUAGCCGGCCUGAGGGGGUGGACGGCCACAAGGGGACUGAGAUACGGCCCUUACUCCUACGGGAGGCAGCAGUGGGGAAUAUUGGACAAUGGGGGCAACCCUGAUCCAGCAAUUCUGUGUGCACGAAGACGGUUUUCGGAUUGUAAAGUGCUUUCAGCAGGGAAGAAGGAAGUGACGGUACCUGCAGAAGAAGCGACGGCUAAAUACGUG
Molecule: ribosomal RNA, 463 nt
Filed under: uncultured bacterium
Lineage: Bacteria
Description: partial 16S ribosomal RNA
Rfam family: Bacterial small subunit ribosomal RNA
Source: RNAcentral